This 406-nucleotide ribosomal RNA is filed under the name uncultured bacterium. RNAcentral's name for it is "partial 16S ribosomal RNA". It matches the Rfam family "Bacterial small subunit ribosomal RNA", at positions 29 to 526 of the family's 1533-position model. The record is from RNAcentral.
AUUGAACGCUGGCGGCAGGCCUAACACAUGCAAGUCGAGCGAGCGGCGGACGGGUGAGUAAUGUCUGGGAACCUGCCUGAUGGUGGGGGAUAACUACUGGAAACGGUAGCUAAUACCGCAUACCAUCAGAUGUGCCCAGAUGGGAUUAGCUAGUAGGUGGGGUAACGGCUCACCUAGGCGACGAUCCCUAGCCGGUCUGAGAGGAGGAGCAGCCACACUGGAACGGAGACACGGUCCAGACGCCUACGGGAGGCAGCAGUGGGGAAUAUGGCACAAUGGGGGCGAGCCUGAUGCAGCCAUGCGGCGUGUGAGAAGAAGGCCUUGGGGUGGUAAAGCACGUUCAGCGGGGAGGCGUUACCCGCAGAAGAAGCACCGGCUAACUCCGUGCCAGCAGCCGCGGUAAUAC